RNAcentral lists this long non-coding RNA (3881 nucleotides) under Sus scrofa (pig). Its description in RNAcentral is "lncRNA (ENSSSCG00065026636.1)". Lineage: Eukaryota; Metazoa; Chordata; Mammalia; Artiodactyla; Suidae. The record is from RNAcentral.
GGAUCCAGUGGCCAUUCCGCUCUUCCCCCAGGGCGCCCCGAGUCUGGUAGUCAUUAAAAAGACAUAGCCCUUUAAAAGUGUGACACCGUCUUCCUUAAAGAGCCUGAAGCAAUGGCCCCAAAGAUAUCAGGACUCCACCUCCAGGACCUGAGACGGUGACCUUAUUGGGGAAAGAACUUUUUGUAGACUGUUGCCUUCAGAGCUCAGCCUUGCCUGAAAUCCAUCCACUCAAGAGCAGGUUCGCAAAGGGGAAAUGAAGGUCCACGGCAGAACGUGAAGAGGAAAAUGCUUUUCCAAACCCAGGCUGAGGACUGAGCCACGAGGUUGCCUGAUCUUCCCAGGUCCUCGUUCCUGAAUCCUGAUGGCCCAGGCAGUGCCUCUCCACCCAGCCCCCCGCCUGCCCAGACUCUGCCUCGGAACUAGAAGACUCUUCAAAAGAAAAAAGGGUGAAGCGAGCCAUGAGCAGAGGCUGGAAACAAAUAGUCCCCCUUUAGAUGUAGGUCAGCACUUCUCCACUGGCCCAACGCACACCGUCCCCCGUCCAGGAGGCGUGUCUGUUCAGCGGCACUAGCACCUCGCCCCAGCCCCUGCCGAAGGCAUCAAGCGUGGGCGAGGUCAGCCUCAAAAAUGAUUCUCCAAACGCGUUGGAUCUCCAGAUGCCUUCCGCGUAGAAAGCUAGGAUUCAUUUAUGAACAACCCGAAUCCGUUUCCCUGUAGGAGCAAAGGAGAAGAACGUGUCGUCUCCUCCAGACGGGGACACGGAGAACGGGGUGGCGUGAGGUCCCCUCUCAGAGGGGACGCGGGUCCUUUGGAAGAUGUGUCCUCGCCGUCUCCAGGGAACUGGAGGGGUGUCAGCUCCUCUGAAGCGAGUAUGCUGGUAAACGGAGAAUUUUCAAAGAAUUGGCUUUUUAAACAUUCAGUACCCAACGCGUUGAUGGACAAGUUCCACGUCAACUCAGUUGAAACGGCCAGCCUCCGACUGUCGGGUUGCUUGAUGUGACAAACCCAGCUCUAUGGCUGUGGCUGUAGACGGAGACGCUCACGUAAUGUGGGACGCGUGUUGGAUGCGGUGACUCUGCCACCUCUCGGUCUUUCGUAUCUGUCAGUCAUCCAUCUGCUGUCGUGGGUCACAUCUAUCCGUCUUUCAUCUCCCCAUGGCUCUAUCCCAUCUCCACUCUUCCAUCGCUCAGGAGCUGUGUAUCUAAUAUCAUCUGUCCACCCCCCAUCAUUGAUCUGCUCCAACAUCUCUCUACCACUGAUUGCAUCUGUAAGUCAUUCUUCUAUUUAUCUAUCAUUUUAUCUAUGUAUAUGUCUGUCCAUCCGGCCAAAAUAUCUAUUUAUCUAUCAACUGUCCAUCCAUCUUAUCUGUCUACCUAUUUCUCUAUCUUUUUAUCCAUCUAUCCAUCUCUAUCUAUAAUCGCUGUAUCCAUCUGUAUGUCUGUCUGUCUGUCCAUCCAUCCAUCAUAUCUUUCUGUCUGUCUGUCUUUCUAUCAUUGAUGUCUACUGUCUCUCAUCUAUGUCUGUCUGUCUCUCUAUCUAUCAUCUAUCUGUGUCUAUCAUCGAUCCAAUCAAUCAUUCACAGACGAUGCCCUCACUCAUUCUGCUGUUACCCUCGUUCUUCCAAUGAAAACCCACCUGAUGAAACCCUUAGUUACCUGAGGAAGGGCUGCAGCCCUAGAGAUGGAGCUGAGACGUGGCCCUUCCUACCUCUUUCCUGAAAGUGAUGUGACUCCCGGCCAGUUACGUUUGACCUGCUUCAGGGUCAUGGUUACACGUAUUCGCUCACGUACACAACCGUAGUCAUUGGUGUCGUGGGUCCAUAGACUACUCUGCAGUAACUCAGGCAGCGUUGUCAGUUUGGGUAUUUCAUUUUAUUCCCCCUUAUUAUUGUUGUGUAGAGUCCUUGCAGACACCUGUUGAGCACACGUUUGAAUGUGGGAAACACUUCUCUCUGAUGGAGCACGGGAGGUGAAUUGCAUAUGUGUGAGCUUCCUAGGCACAAGCAUCCUUGGACACUGGAGAUUUACAGGAUCGGCGGCUUCUGGGGAAGCUCAUGGGAGCCCACAUCAGUGGGCUGUUACCUGGGACCAGAACUUCUCCUCAUGGCUGAAUCAGGUCCCGUGUUUUGCUGUGGACGUAGCCGUCUGUUACCUCGGAUGUGUGUGAACUAUUUGACCUGCUCUGGAUGCUGUUCACACCGCAAUUCAUGUUGCCGUCACUCCCUCCAGGAGAUAAGAUGCAAAGGAAUCGGUUUCACCGUGGGACACAGCCCAGGGCUCAGAGCUCCAUUGCCAUGGCAGAUAAAGAUCCAGAGAGGAAACAUCGGGGCUGUACCCGUGGACUCAAGGACUCAGCUCUGCCCUGCGGUGGGCACGCAGAUGGACAUAGCCUCGACGGGUGGACGUGGUUGUGGGCGCGUGACAUGAGGAGCCAGAGACACGCAGAAUGAGGUUUCUCCUGAGCAGGAAGCGUGCCCGUGAGCAACCAGCUGAGAAGUCGACCCAUCACAUGUGAAAAUGAGAAAGUCCCGUCGAGGCCAGACCCCGCUGUCCUUGGAAAGGUGUUGAGUUGAUUUCUUCCAAGGGGUGAGGGAGCAAUUCAGGUUCCCUGCCCAGCGGGUGCUCUGCCUCCCUAGUUCCGGAGGCUGGACUUUCAAGACCUGCUGAGAGCCAUCUUCCUGGUUCAUCAAUGGACGUUCUCUCCAUCAGGACAGAGACAAGACAGUUCCUUCUUACCCGUGAGAGAUACAUGUAUUGUCCAUGACUCCGCAGGAAAUUGAUUUCCCCAACCCGAUGCAGAGAUGGGGAAGGGGGGAGCCAAAAGAAGGGUUUGCUGUCCAUCUUUGGCGCCAGAGGAGAAGUCAGCCCCCAGAAGCUAAGCACUGAGAAGUCCAGUCUUCCACAUCCAGGGGUUUCCAGAUUCCCACUCGUGUAAGAAAUGCAGCGUGAUGUCCCAGUUUUCGUGCUUUUCUUGAGAUGUGGUCCCCUUGGAGGAGCUUCCCCCGCCAGGAUGGAAUUUCAGAGCUUUCGGCUCGAGAAGAAGGGAAAUGCCCCGAACAGCCACCCCCCAGGCCCCUUGUGGCCGCUGAGAAGUUGGGGAGGAUGCAGCCAUAAAGGAGGAUGUGAAAAGUAGGCGCGAUCGCAAGGCACGAAUCUCGGAAUCUUCGUGUUUCAUCGGGAAGGCAGAGGAGGAAGGAAUCUGCGAGGUGCAGCCGCCUCUUCUGACCUCAGGAUGGACGGAGAGGGCGUGAAGGACCCGUCAGUGACCAGCUGUUGCACAGAGAGCCCAGGGGAAGGGGGUGCCCUGGCGGGCACAUGGGAACCGAUGCUGCGGCUCACGAGAAGUUGGAGGAACAAACUGCUUUGUCCCAGGAGAAGAGGAGCAGGAUGGAACAGAUGCCCGCUGUAAUCGUGGGCGGAACCGGAGGGACGGACGCAACGCUUGGCGCUUCCAAUUCUGACAGUGGCUGACCUCACGGGAGAUGGAUGGGGGAGGGUCCAGAUGUUUCGAUGAGGAAACGGAGGCCACUAAGUGUUGUGUAACGUCCCAAGGGGACCCAGCUCUGAAGCGGUGGAGUCAGAAUGGGUUGCUUAACAGCCACCCCCACCCUCGGCUCGGAAGACGUCCACACCCAGGUAUGAAAAUGCCCUGUGGGAGUGUCUGUUGCUGCUCAGCGGGUUAAGAACACAACAUAGCGUCCGUCCAAGGGAUGCGGGUUUGAUCCCUGGCCUCGCUCGGCGAGUUAAGGAUCUGGUGUUGCCACAGGCUGUGGUGUAGGUCACAGGUGCAGUUCAGAGCCUGUGUUGCGGUGGCUGUGGUGUAGACUGGCAGCUGCAGCACUGAUUCGACCCCUAGCUCGGGAACUUCCAUGUGCUGCGGGG